Molecule: ribosomal RNA, 870 nt
Filed under: uncultured Alloiococcus sp.
Lineage: Bacteria; Bacillati; Bacillota; Bacilli; Lactobacillales; Carnobacteriaceae
Description: bacterial SSU rRNA
Rfam family: Bacterial small subunit ribosomal RNA
Source: RNAcentral
AUACGUAGGUGACAAGCGUUGUCCGGAUUUAUUGGGCGUAAAGCGAGCGCAGGCGGGUCCGGUAAGUCUGAUGUGAAAGCCCACGGCUCAACCGUGGAACGGCAUUGGAAACUGGCGGACUUGAAUGUAGCAGAGGAAAGUGGAUUUCCAUGUGUAGCGGUGGAAUGCGUAGAUAUAUGGAGGAACACCAGUGGCGAAAGCGACUUUCUGGGCUAUGAUUGACGCUGAGGCUCGAAAGCGUGGGGAGCGAACAGGAUUAGAUACCCUGGUAGUCCACGCCGUAAACGAUGAGUGCUAAGUGUUGGAGGGUUUCCGCCCUUCAGUGCUGGAGUUAACGCAUUAAGCACUCCGCCUGGGGAUUACGACCGCAAGGUUGAAACUCAAAAGAAUUGACGGGGACCCGCACAAGCGGUGGAGCAUGUGGUUUAAUUCGAAGCAACGCGAAGAACCUUACCAGCUCUUGACAUCUUCUGCUAGCUUCAGAGAUGAAGGGUUCCCUUCGGGGACGGAAUGACAGGUGGUGCAUGGUUGUCGUCAGCUCGUGUCGUGAGAUGUUGGGUUAAGUCCCGUAACGAGCGCAACCCUUAUUGUUAGUUGCCAGCAUUGAGUUGGGCACUCUAGCAAGACUGCCGGUGAUAAACCGGAGGAAGGCGGGGAUGACGUCAAAUCAUCAUGCCCCUUAUGAGCUGGGCUACACACGUGCUACAAUGGAUGGUACAACGAGUAGCGAGACCGCGAGGUUUAGCUAAUCUCCCAAAGCCAUUCUCAGUUCGGAUUGCAGGCUGCAACUCGCCUGCAUGAAGUCGGAAUCGCUAGUAAUCGCGGAUCAGAAUGCCGCGGUGAAUUCGUUCCCGGUCUUGCACACACRGC